CACGUAGGCGGACUUUCAAGUCAGGGGUGAAAUCCCGGAGCUCAACUUCGGAAUUGCCUUUGAUACUGUUGGUCUCGAGUCCGGAAGAGGUGGGUGGAAUUCCUAGUGUAGAGGUGAAAUUCGUAGAUAUUAGGAAGAACACCGGUGGCGAAGGCGGCCCACUGGUCCGGUACUGACGCUGAGGUGCGAAAGCGUGGGGAGCAAACA
RNAcentral lists this ribosomal RNA (207 nucleotides) under uncultured bacterium. RNAcentral describes it as "partial 16S ribosomal RNA". It matches the Rfam family "Bacterial small subunit ribosomal RNA", at positions 568 to 774 of the family's 1533-position model. The record is from RNAcentral.